Molecule: transfer RNA, 73 nt
Filed under: Anaerolineae bacterium
Lineage: Bacteria; Bacillati; Chloroflexota; Anaerolineae
Description: tRNA-Arg
Rfam family: tRNA
About the family: Transfer RNA (tRNA) molecules are approximately 80 nucleotides in length. Their secondary structure includes four short double-helical elements and three loops (D, anti-codon, and T loops).
Source: RNAcentral
GCCCCCUUAGCUCAGUGGAUAGAGCACCUGCCUUCUAAGCAGAUGGUCGAGGGUUCGAAUCCUUCAGGGGGCG